RNAcentral lists this ribosomal RNA (496 nucleotides) under uncultured bacterium. Its description in RNAcentral is "partial 16S ribosomal RNA". It matches the Rfam family "Bacterial small subunit ribosomal RNA", at positions 29 to 507 of the family's 1533-position model. The record is from RNAcentral.
AUGCACGCUGGCGGCGUGCCUAAUACAUGCCAGUCGCGCGAACAGACGAGGAGCUUGCUCCUCUGACGUUAGCGGCGGGCGGGUGAGUAACACGUGGAUAACCUACCUAUAAGACUGGGAUAACUUCGGGAAACCGGAGCUAAUACCGGAUAAUAUAUUGAACCGCAUGGUUCAAUAGUGAAAGACGGUUUUGCUGUCACUUAUAGAUGGAUCCGCGCCGCAUUAGCUAGUUGGUAAGGUAACGGCUUACCAAGGCAACGAUGCGUAGCCGACCUGAGAGGGUGAUCGGUCACACUGGAACUGAGACACGGUCCAGACUCCUACGGGAGGCAGCAGUAGGGAAUCUUCCGCAAUGGGCGAAAGCCUGACGGAGCAACGCCGCGUGAGUGAUGAAGGUCUUCGGAUCGUAAAACUCUGUUAUUAGGGAAGAGCAAAUGUGUAAGUAACUAUGCACGUCUUGACGGUACCUAAUCAGAAAGCCACGGCUAACUACGUG